RNAcentral lists this unclassified non-coding RNA (258 nucleotides) under Bombus terrestris (buff-tailed bumblebee). RNAcentral describes it as "misc RNA ENSBTSG00005030025.1". Lineage: Eukaryota; Metazoa; Arthropoda; Insecta; Hymenoptera; Apidae. The record is from RNAcentral.
AACCCAGAAAAAGAACAAGGAUCAGCGUAAACGUGCGGCGCAGAAAUGCGUAAGUCCCGUCGAAGUUUCCGGCAAGAAAGAGCCCAGCAGAGAUCCAUGGGGACGCGAGAAAGGAACGAGACAAAACGGGAGUCCUCCAGCACCCCCGAUUCAAUCUAGGCGAGGUCGAAGGGUGGAUUCUGGAAGGACCCGGGUUGCUUUGUGUUCGUGUGUCGAACAGUAAGAACGUGUCCAGAGUCGUGGAGGAGACAAGCUGUA